This 253-nucleotide ribosomal RNA is filed under the name uncultured bacterium. Its description in RNAcentral is "partial 16S ribosomal RNA". It matches the Rfam family "Bacterial small subunit ribosomal RNA", at positions 524 to 776 of the family's 1533-position model. The record is from RNAcentral.
UACGUAGGGUGCAAGCGUUAAUCGGAAUUACUGGGCGUAAAGCGUGCGCAGGCGGUUUUGUAAGUCAGCUGUGAAAUCCCCGGGCUCAACCUGGGAAUGGCAGAUGAGACUGCAGGGCUGGAGUGUGUCAGAGGGGGGCAGAAUUCCACGUGUAGCAGUGAAAUGCGUAGAGAUGUGGAGGAAUACCGAUGGCGAAGGCAGCCCCCUGGGAUAACACUGACGCUCAUGCACGAAAGCGUGGGGAGCAAACAGG